Long non-coding RNA from Polypterus senegalus (gray bichir), 456 nucleotides. RefSeq lists it as uncharacterized. The transcript is spliced from 2 exons. Lineage: Eukaryota; Metazoa; Chordata; Cladistia; Polypteriformes; Polypteridae. The record is from RefSeq and is a predicted model, not a curated record.
GCUGUUCCUUGGUGAGAGAAUAUGUUUGCCAUCAUACACAAAAUCAGAUGACAGACAAAAAAUGUGCAGACUUAGAAAGUAUCAUGCAGUAAACUACAGCCUUCAGUCACUUUAAAGUGUAAAAAAAAUGGCACCAGAGGGACAUAUAAAUCCAAUAAUAGUCUGCUAUACUGUUUUAAUUGGCCAGAUGUACGCUACCAAGAUGACUGUGAUUGAAGACAAAAGAGAGAGAAAAGUGCAAUGAAAAACAUGGACAUGAAAAUCCUUGACAUUCCUCCAUUUCCAGUCAACCUUCAUGAAUACAAUAAAAAAAAUCCCUCUCUGUGCAAAGCUGUUGGAUAUCUCAGAAUGAAUUGAUCAACUUUCUUUAGUAUAUACAUCCUAGACAGGAAGAUGUGUACCAUAUUAAAACACUGUUUAGUGUUGAUGCUCGAUUAAAAAGAUAUUUAAACCAUA